RNAcentral lists this microRNA precursor (78 nucleotides) under Triops cancriformis. Its description in RNAcentral is "microRNA tcf-mir-10347 precursor (tcf-mir-10347-1)". The record is from miRBase by way of RNAcentral. Lineage: Eukaryota; Metazoa; Arthropoda; Branchiopoda; Notostraca; Triopsidae.
UUACGUAUUCGUUCGGCUGGCCCCUCUUCCUCGCUUUCAGCUAGGGGGAUGGGUUCGGCCGAAGCGCCUAACGCCACG